GAGGGUAGAGCUCAGUGAUAGAGUGUGUGCUUAGCAUGCACAAGGUCCUGGGUUCAACCCCUAGUACCUCCA
Molecule: transfer RNA, 72 nt
Filed under: Camelus bactrianus (Bactrian camel)
Lineage: Eukaryota; Metazoa; Chordata; Mammalia; Artiodactyla; Camelidae
Also listed under: 2 other names
Rfam family: tRNA
About the family: Transfer RNA (tRNA) molecules are approximately 80 nucleotides in length. Their secondary structure includes four short double-helical elements and three loops (D, anti-codon, and T loops).
Source: Rfam by way of RNAcentral